GGAGUACAAAUAAAACGUUAUGUUAUUAUCGAGCGCCUAAACAAAUUUUAUGUGCCCGCUUCUGAAAAAAAAUCAAAAAAAAAAAUAGAUAAAAUAAUGUUUUGGUUCUUAAUUUUUUCUAAGGAAAAACAGAUCUCACUUUACACUUUCUCACAAAGAAAUCGGUGGAAAUCUCAAUCUCUCUCUCGAAAUCUCACUUCCCCUUUCGAAAACUCACUCUUCUGUCUCAACGUUUGUGUCGUCCUUUUGACAGAUCCAGUUCUACCAUCUCUCUCUCUGAUCUAUUUGUUUCCAGAUCUCGUUGCGGUUUAGUCUCUACCGGCGAACCAAUGGAAGAAGAUAUGGCAAGAGAUGUUUUCCUAUGGAUCUCCUUCGUCAUGUCGUCUUUGCCUGCGUGGCUCCGUCACCAUCCUAGAUCUGUCACUGUUUCGACAUCUUAGUUGUUUUCCUAAUUUGAUUUAAGGAUGGUUUUGGGAAAUUUUUUUCCGUCGGAGCGUUGGGCGAUCUUAGGCUUCUCGAUGGUGGAAGGGAGGAGCGAUAUGGUGAGGAUUGACACAACAGAUCGUGAAGACUGUUUUAGAUCUAUUUGAGGUGAAGUCAGAUUCGAGGUUAGGGUUUAAUCUUUCUACUAGUUUGGGUGUAGUUAUCAUGCGGAAGUCUUCUUCUUGCCUUAUUUUGAUUAUCUAAGAAGCUAAGUUGUAUCUUCCAUUGAUGUUUUUUUUCGUUUUCUGUCGGGAUUGAGGUUUCUAAGUACUUUGAAACUAUUACUCCUGAAGACAAGCCAUAGUGGAUUCAUUGAUUUCAAAGUAAGCAAAGAAGGAACUAGGUGCCAAAUACUGGAUUGGUUUUCAAAGGAAGAGGUUGUGGUGGGGGAAGGUCUCAUACUGAUCUGAACUUGUGGUGUUCUUCUCUAUGGUACACUAGGUGGUUUAAAGAACACAAGACAUGUUGAAGUUGAUUACGUGAUGAUAUCAAAGAAGUUUCAAAGAUUAGAGGUCCAAGAGUGUGGAAAAUUCAUGGAGUUUACAAGAGUUUUCUGAACUUAUUUUCUAAUAUGUACUUUUACUUUGUAAUGAUAUUUUGUACCAUUGUUUUAUAUAAAUAUAAUAAAAUUUUGGCAUUUUUCUGUUU
Molecule: non-coding RNA, 1131 nt
Organism: Camelina sativa (false flax)
Lineage: Eukaryota; Viridiplantae; Streptophyta; Magnoliopsida; Brassicales; Brassicaceae
Source: RefSeq, a predicted model, not a curated record